GACAAGAGCGCAUGUGCAUGGGAAGUCUGGGUGAGAAAAGCCCUCCUCACCUCCCAGCAGCAAGGAGUCGGGAGACCAGGUGUGGAGGUGGCCUGGGACCUGGGAGCCCUCUGGCCUGUGUGCAGCCUGACCCUGAGUCCAUCCUUGCUGUAGCACCUGGUUUGGGGCUUCCGGGCAUGGUGCCAUGGGCACAAAAGGGCAGAAGCUGCCCCGAGGGAGCAACCCUGGGGGCUCUGGGACGUCUUGGAGGGCCAGCAGCUCAGCUCCUGGAGAAGAGGGUCUGCUUUCCAUGUGUGAAGAGCAGCUUCGAGCCAGCUGGUCUAGGGAAAACAAGGUCAGAGCAAACCCAGCCCACACAGUGGCUCCUGCAUGCCUGCUGCUGCUGGGGCUGCACAGAGUGGGCGACACAGGAAGACCCGGGUCCCGUCUCUGCUCUGACGGGAGUGAGGCCUGCUCAGACGGACGCUCGGGGGUGGCCAAGUAGUGCAUGUUUAAGUUAAAGGUUCCACACUAAAACACAUUUCACGAGUCCCUUCACUUCAGACACACUUGGCCCGCUGGCCUUGCCACUUCUGCAAGCGGUUCUGGAGUUCUCCUCCGUGUCUUUAGGGCAUGUGACUGCAAGUCCAGCCAAUGCUGCUGCUGAGUGCCGCCCGGCGAAGGCAGGCUCAGAAAAUGUGAUGCUGCGCCCUCAGCCCCCUAAUCUGGCACCUGUGACUUCUGGAGCUUCCUAAGUCGAAGUGACCAUGAGAGAGAAAUGUUCUGAAUCAAUUCGGAAUACUAAGACAGCGUAACAGUGUAACUAAAGACAAAAGACAGCAAAGAGGAUGCCAGCCCUGCUGCAGAAGGCGGCAAGGACAACGGGACGAGCCGCGCGCGUACACUCUGAGGGAGGCUCCUGGCAGUGUGUUUCUUUCUUUCUGUAGUUAAAAAAAGCCCAAGAGCCAACAACAUGUUCACCAUACUUUUUGAUCACACCCUAUACAAGGGGCCAGCGAGGCCUUCCUUUUAACUUCCUCUUUUUAAGAGGUUCAGAGAAAUCCUUGACCUUUCAAACGCUUAUCUAGUGGACUGCUGCGUUCCCUCAACUAUGCACCGAAUCUGCUCCAAGAGCCAAGAGAAUAAAGGAAACCACGAGACCCUCCAGACGGGUGAGUUCUUUUGUUUGCUGCAGGAAAUGCAAGCCCGAUCAGACAAUAUGUACAUGCCGAAGUCACAGAGACGCUCCCAGCGCACCCAUCCACCAGCGCCUAGGCCAGCGUAACCCGAGUUUCCCAGCACACCUGGGUGGGGCCCUGCGCUACCCUGAAACGCAGCGGAGGCCCAAAGAGAAGGCGCCGACACAGGACGGCUGUGCACAGGCAGUGGAGAUUGUGCUGCCAAGUGCGAAGGCAAGCGUCCGCGUGUGACCAGCCUCUCCCGGCCCUGGCACUCCCGCUGAAGGGUGGGUGCCUUCACGGUCACUUCUGAUGCCAUCCCCCUGCUGCCAGUCUCACCCCACCGGACGUGGUCACAUCAGGGCUGCCACAGCACUCACUGCCUUCGCCCUGACGAGGAGGCUCCUCUGGCUAAGGAGCCCGCGCUGGCAUGCCGAGCAGGGGCCUGGAGAUGGCCCUCUCUCCCUCCUUCCUGUUCCACCAUGUGACUGCUGACCGGGGAGGGGACCUGGACACUCCCUGAGCAGCCUGCUCGUCCCUGAACACGUGAACCCAGGGUCACAUCUGAUUCUCUGCAGGGCUGCACGAGGGACACUGGACAGGAUAAAUGGGAUCCUCCGCCUUUCCCCUCACUUGGAAUUUCAAGAACCUGGGUUGCUGUUUUCCAACUUUAUUACAGCUACCAAGAAUCCUCCAACAGAUGACAUCAGUCUGUCAGACACACCUGCACACAGGUGCCCUGAGCUGUAAACCACCAGAGUCCAUCAGCAGAGGACUGGGUAGAGGAACUGGGCGACACCCACACGACAGAAGACUACCCAGCCACGAGAAGAUGAAAGCUGUCACUGUGGCACUUGGAGAUCGCCGCGUUCGUGGAAUAAGCCAGGCACAGAAAGAUGCACACUGCGUGAGCUCACGCGUGUGUGGAACCUAGAAAGCUGGUCUGAGAGGCUGAGCAGGACAGUGGACACCAAGUGCGGGGAGGAGUGGGGCUGAGGAAAGGCUGACAGGUGCUACGUGACAGCAGAGAGACGCUCGCGUGUUCUGUAGACAGCAAGGUGAGCGCAGAGAACAGUAUGUGCUUGGUUUUUUUUCAUAGCUCGAAGGAAGGAUUUUGACUUUUAAAUCAAGGAGACAGGUUUACUCUGAAUGAACAUUAUGCAAUGUAUCAGAAACCUUUCUAUGGCUGGGACAAAAUCCCUGACAACCAUGACCUAAGGAGAAGGGGCUGAUUCUGGCUCACAGCUGCAGAGGGCUCAGCCCAUGGGGGACUGGGAAUCCCAUCAUGGAGGAAGGCUGUGGUGGAGGAAUGCAGCUCACCUCAUGGCCAGGGGGCAAGCACAGGAAAAGGUGGAGAGGUAGGGUCAGGGACCAGAUACGGUCUCCAGGUGUGUGCUUUCAUAAUCUAGGCAGCUCUCAAGCCAGACAAGCUGCCAAUCAAGAUUAACUAUCACAAGCUAUGUGUCCAUGUACCUAAACAAAACAUGGCGGCCCAGAAAUAUAUAGACAAUUUUAUGUAAUUAGUGAAAGAAAAAAAGAACACGCUGUCUUUGAA
Chinchilla lanigera (long-tailed chinchilla) is the source of this 2712-nucleotide long non-coding RNA. RefSeq lists it as uncharacterized. Lineage: Eukaryota; Metazoa; Chordata; Mammalia; Rodentia; Chinchillidae. The transcript is spliced from 2 exons. The record is from RefSeq and is a predicted model, not a curated record.